RNAcentral lists this ribosomal RNA (460 nucleotides) under uncultured bacterium. RNAcentral's name for it is "partial 16S ribosomal RNA". It matches the Rfam family "Bacterial small subunit ribosomal RNA", at positions 338 to 795 of the family's 1533-position model. The record is from RNAcentral.
CCUACGGGCGGCAGCAGUGAGGAAUAUUGGUCAAUGGACGAGAGUCUGAACCAGCCAAGUAGCGUGAAGGAUGGCUGCCCUAUGGGUUGUAAACUUCUUUUAUAUGGGAAUAAAAUGUUCCACGUGUGGGAUUUUGUAUGUACCAUAUGAAUAAGGAUCGGCUAACUCCGUGCCAGCAGCCGCGGUAAUACGGAGGAUCCGAGCGUUAUCCGGAUUUAUUGGGUUUAAAGGGAGCGUAGGUGGAUUGUUAAGUCAGUUGUGAAAGUUUGCGGCUCAACCGUAAAAUUGCAGUUGAAACUGGCAGUCUUGAGUACAGUAGAGGUGGGCGGAAUUCGUGGUGUAGCGGUGAAAUGCUUAGAUAUCACGAAGAACUCCGAUUGCGAAGGCAGUUCACUGGACUGCAACUGACACUGAGGCUCGAAAGUGUGGGUAUCAAACAGGAUUAGAUACCCGGGUAGUC